RNAcentral lists this ribosomal RNA (460 nucleotides) under uncultured Prevotella sp. Its description in RNAcentral is "bacterial SSU rRNA". It matches the Rfam family "Bacterial small subunit ribosomal RNA", at positions 338 to 795 of the family's 1533-position model. Lineage: Bacteria; Pseudomonadati; Bacteroidota; Bacteroidia; Bacteroidales; Prevotellaceae. The record is from RNAcentral.
CCUACGGGAGGCAGCAGUGAGGAAUAUUGGUCAAUGGGCGAGAGCCUGAACCAGCCAAGUCGCGUGAAGGAUGACGGCCCUAUGGGUUGUAAACUUCUUUUGUAUGGGGAUAAAGUCAAUCACGUGUGAUUGUUUGCAGGUACCAUACGAAUAAGGACCGGCUAAUUCCGUGCCAGCAGCCGCGGUAUUACGGAAGGUCCGGGCGUUAUCCGGAUUUAUUGGGUUUAAAGUGAGCGUAGGCUGGAGAUUAAGUGUGUUGUGAAAUGUAGACGCUCAACGUCUGACUUGCAGCGCAUACUGGUUUCCUUGAGUACGCACAACGUUGGCGGAAUUCGUCGUGUAGCGGUGAAAUGCUUAGAUAUGACGAAGAACUCCGAUUGCGAAGGCAGCUGACGGGAGCGCAACUGACGCUUAAGCUCGAAGGAGUGGGUAUCAAACAGGAUUAGAUACCCCGGUAGUC